GGCAGCAGUGAGGAAUAUUGGGCAAUGGACGCAAGUCUGACCCAGCCAUGCCGCGUGAAGGAUGAAGGCGUUCUGCGUUGUAAACUUCUUUUAUUAGGGAAGAAACCUCUUUUUUCUAAAGUGGUUGACGGUACCAGAUGAAUAAGCACCGGCUAACUCCGUGCCAGCAGCCGCGGUAAUACGGAGGGUGCAAGCGUUAUCCGGAUUCACUGGGUUUAAAGGGUGCGUAGGUGGGCAGGUAAGUCAGUGGUGAAAUCUCCGGGCUUAACCCGGAAACUGCCAUUGAUACUAUCUGUCUUGAAUACCGUGGAGGUGAGCGGAAUAUGUCAUGUAGCGGUGAAAUGCUUAGAUAUGACAUAGAACACCAAUUGCGAAGGCAGCUCACUACGCGAAUAUUGACACUGAGGCACGAAAGCGUGGGGAUCAAACAGGAUUAGAUACCCUGGUAGUCCACGCCCUAAACGAUGGAUACUCGACAUACGCGAUACACAGUGUGUGUCUGAGCGAAAGCAUUAAGUAUCCCACCUGGGAAGUACGACCGCAAGGUUAAAACUCAAAGGAAU
RNAcentral lists this ribosomal RNA (563 nucleotides) under uncultured bacterium. RNAcentral describes it as "bacterial SSU rRNA". It matches the Rfam family "Bacterial small subunit ribosomal RNA", at positions 347 to 910 of the family's 1533-position model. The record is from RNAcentral.